RNAcentral lists this ribosomal RNA (389 nucleotides) under Dinophyceae sp. RNAcentral describes it as "partial small subunit ribosomal RNA". It matches the Rfam family "Eukaryotic small subunit ribosomal RNA", at positions 582 to 975 of the family's 1831-position model. Lineage: Eukaryota; Dinophyceae. The record is from RNAcentral.
AUUCCAGCUCCAAUAGCGUAUAUUAAAGUUGUUGCGGUUAAAAAGCUCGUAGUUGGAUUUCUGCCGAGGACGACCGGUCCGCCCUCUGGGUGAGUAUCUGGCUCGGCCUGGGCAUCUUCUUGGAGAACGUAUCUGCACUUGACUGUGUGGUGCGGUAUCCAGGACUUUUACUUUGAGGAAAUUAGAGUGUUUCAAGCAGGCUUACGCCUUGAAUACAUUAGCAUGGAAUAAUAAGAUAGGACCUCGGAUCUAUUUUGUUGGUUUCUAGAGCUGAGGUAAUGAUUAAUAGGGAUAGUUGGGGGUGUCUGUAUUGUGUUGUCAGAGGUGAAAUUCUUAGAUUUACACAAGACAAACUACUGCGAAAGCAUUCACCAAGGAUGUUUUCAUUG